RNAcentral lists this ribosomal RNA (428 nucleotides) under uncultured bacterium. Its description in RNAcentral is "partial 16S ribosomal RNA". It matches the Rfam family "Bacterial small subunit ribosomal RNA", at positions 354 to 796 of the family's 1533-position model. The record is from RNAcentral.
GUGGGGAAUAUUGGGCAAUGGGCGCAAGCCUGACCCAGCAACGCCGCGUGAAGGAAGAAGGCUUUCGGGUUGUAAACUUCUUUUACCAGGGACGAAACAAAUGACGGUACCUGGUGAAUAAGCCACGGCUAACUACGUGCCAGCAGCCGCGGUAAUACGUAGGUGGCGAGCGUUAUCCGGAUUUAUUGGGUGUAAAGGGCGUGUAGGCGGGACAGCAAGUCAGAUGUGAAAACCAGAGGCUCAACCUCUGGCCUGCAUUUGAAACUGUUGUUCUUGAGUGUCGAAGAGGUAAUCGGAAUUCCGUGUGUAGCGGUGAAAUGCGUAGAUAUACGGAGGAACACCAGUGGCGAAGGCGGAUUACUGGACGAUAACUGACGCUGAGGCGCGAAAGCGUGGGGAGCAAACAGGAUUAAAAACCCUUGUAGUCC